AACGAACGCUGGCGGCAUGCCUAACACAUGCAAGUCGAACGAGACCUUCGGGUCUAGUGGCGCACGGGUGCGUAACGCGUGGGAACCUGCCUUUAGGUUCGGAAUAACUCAGAGAAAUUUGAGCUAAUACCGGAUGAUGUCUUCGGACCAAAGAUUUAUCGCCUUUAGAUGGGCCCGCGUUGGAUUAGCUAGUUGGUGGGGUAAAGGCCUACCAAGGCGACGAUCCAUAGCUGGUCUGAGAGGAUGAUCAGCCACACUGGGACUGAGACACGGCCCAGACUCCUACGGGAGGCAGCAGUGGGGAAUAUUGGACAAUGGGCGAAAGCCUGAUCCAGCAAUGCCGCGUGAGUGAUGAAGGCCUUAGGGUUGUAAAGCUUUUUUACCCGAGAUGAUAAUGACAGUAUCGGGAGAAUAAGCUCCGGCUAACUCCGUG
Molecule: ribosomal RNA, 433 nt
Filed under: uncultured bacterium
Lineage: Bacteria
Description: partial 16S ribosomal RNA
Rfam family: Bacterial small subunit ribosomal RNA
Source: RNAcentral